This 561-nucleotide ribosomal RNA is filed under the name uncultured bacterium. Its description in RNAcentral is "bacterial SSU rRNA". It matches the Rfam family "Bacterial small subunit ribosomal RNA", at positions 337 to 916 of the family's 1533-position model. The record is from RNAcentral.
UCCUACGGGAGGCAGCAGUUGGGAAUCUUGGACAAUGGGGGAAACCCUGAUCCAGCCAUGCCGCGUGAGUGAUGAAGGCCUUCGGGUUGUAAAACUCUUUCGACGGGGACGAUAAUGACGGUACCCGUAGAAGAAGCUCCGGCUAACUUCGUGCCAGCAGCCGCGGUAAUCCGAAGGGGGCUAGCGUUGUUCGGAAUUACUGGGCGUAUAGCGCGCGCAGGCGGUCUUCCAAGUCAGUGGUGAAAGCCCGGAGCUCAACUCCGGAACUGCCAUUGAAACUGUUAGACUUGAGGACGAGAGAGGUGAGUGGAAUUCCCAGUGUAGAGGUGAAAUUCGUAGAUAUUGGGAAGAACACCGGUGGCGAAGGCGGCUCACUGGCUCGUAUCUGACGCUCAGGCGCGAUAGCGUGGGGAUCAAACAGGAUUAGAUACCCUGGUAGUCCACGCCGUAAACGUUGAAUGCUAGCCGUUGGGUAGCUUGCUAUUCAGUGGCGCAGCUAACGCAUUAAGCAUUCCGCCUGGGGAGUACGGCCGCAAGGUUGAAACUCAAAGGAAUUGACGG